AAUUUUAUAUAAAUAUAGGAGGAAUAAACAGCAUUUGUAAGCUAAUAUUAUACACAACUUAAUAACUAGAAAAAAUAUCAGAAUGGUGGAGCAUGAAGCAAGCAACCUAUCAGAAGAAGACAAUCACCAAGUGUAUCUUACAAUUUUAUAUAAAUAUAGGAGGAAUAAACAGCAUUUGUAAGCUAAUAUUAUACACAACUUAAUAACUAGAAAAAAUAUCAGAAUGGUGGAGCAUGAAGCAAGCAACCUAUCAGAAGAAGACAAUCACCAAGUGUAUCUUACAAUUUUAUAUAAAUAUAGGAGGGAUAAACAGCAUUUGUAAGCUAAUAUUAUACACAACUUAAUAACUAGAAAAAAUAUCAGAAUGGUGGAGCAUGAAGCAAGCAACCUAUCAGAAGAAGACAAUCACCAAGUGUUUAUAUGUAAUUUAACCCAUAAAUAAACAGAUUUGCUGCAUAGUUCUUGCCAGCAGUCUUACAUCGUAUCCAAAAAAAGCACUAAUACUUCUUCAUUCUUAAUAUUAACAUGUUAUUCCCUCUCAAUUUUCUUCAUUUUGUUAUUUCCCAUUGUUCCUCUUAUUACUUAUUCAUCAUUGUUUUAUUUCUUGUUAUUACUCUUAUAAAUUAUAAACAUGUUUAAGAACAUAGUUCCGAUUACAUUGCCAAAUAUGCAUUCCGUUCAGUAAAAAAAAUUAUAUCGAGAUGCCCAAC
RNAcentral lists this long non-coding RNA (710 nucleotides) under Panax ginseng (ginseng). RNAcentral describes it as "long non-coding RNA (PGIN_LNC006660)". Lineage: Eukaryota; Viridiplantae; Streptophyta; Magnoliopsida; Apiales; Araliaceae. The record is from RNAcentral.